GGGGUUGUACUGGUUUCGACGGGGGUUUUGCAGUUGUGGAAGCCAUCUGCGGGCCGGGACCGCAUAGUAAACCGGAAUUAAAAUUAAACGCAAACGAUAAUUUAGCGUACGCAGCCUAAUGGCUGCUGUCGGCCUUAGGUCUCUCGCAGCUUAAGUCACCGGCAUCAAAUCUUGCGAGGCACUCUGCGUUCAAAGCUUUGAGAAGGCAGAAGAAUGAAUGAAGCUACUGAAUCCGACAGCCUGUCUUUCGGCGGUCGGAGGAGGGAAUGUCAAAAGAGAGACUGUGAUGGGAGAUGCCGCGAUGAAUAGGCUUUCGGACAGGGGUUCGAUUCCCCUCAGCUCCACUU
RNAcentral lists this transfer-messenger RNA (347 nucleotides) under Eubacteriales bacterium. It matches the Rfam family "transfer-messenger RNA". From Rfam's summary of the family: Bacterial tmRNA, also known as 10Sa RNA or SsrA, is named for its dual tRNA and mRNA-like properties. Its role is to liberate the mRNA from a stalled ribosome. To accomplish this part of the tmRNA is used as a reading frame that ends in a translation stop signal. The record is from RNAcentral. Lineage: Bacteria; Bacillati; Bacillota; Clostridia; Eubacteriales.